ACGGGUGCGUAACGCGUGGGAAUCUGCCCCUUGGUUCGGAAUAACAGUUAGAAAUGACUGCUAAUACCGGAUGACGACGUAAGUCCAAAGAUUUAUCGCCGAGGGAUGAGCCCGCGUAGGAUUAGCUAGUUGGUGUGGUAAAGGCGCACCAAGGCGACGAUCCUUAGCUGGUCUGAGAGGAUGAUCAGCCACACUGGGACUGAGACACGGCCCAGACUCCUACGGGAGGCAGCAGUGGGGAAUAUUGGACAAUGGGCGCAAGCCUGAUCCAGCAAUGCCGCGUGAGUGAUGAAGGCCUUAGGGUUGUAAAGCUCUUUUACCCGUGAUGAUAAUGACAGUAGCGGGAGAAUAAGCCCCGGCUAACUCCGUGCCAGCAGCCGCGGUAAUACGGAGGGGGCUAGCGUUGUUCGGAAUUACUGGGCGUAAAGCGCACGUAGGCGGCUUUGUAAGUUAGAGGUGAAAGCCUGGAGCUCAACUCCAGAACUGCCUUUAAGACUGCAUCGCUUGAAUCCAGGAGAGGUGAGUGGAAUUCCGAGUGUAGAGGUGAAAUUCGUAGA
This 557-nucleotide ribosomal RNA is filed under the name uncultured bacterium. Its description in RNAcentral is "bacterial SSU rRNA". It matches the Rfam family "Bacterial small subunit ribosomal RNA", at positions 102 to 694 of the family's 1533-position model. The record is from RNAcentral.